CCUACGGGAGGCAGCAGUAGGGAAUUUUCGUCAAUGGGCGCAAGCCUGAACGAGCAAUGCCGCGUGAACGAGGAAGGUCUUCGGAUCGUAAAGUUCUGUUGAAGGGGAAAAAGAGCGGAGAGAGGAAAUGCUUUCUGAUUGAUAUUACCCUUCGAGGCAGUCACGGCUAACUACGUGCCAGCAGCCGCGGUAAUACGUAGGUGGCGAGCGUUAUCCGGAAUGAUGGGGCGUAAAGGGUGCGUAGGCGGCCUGCUAAGUCUGGAGUGAAAGGUACCGGCUCAACCGGUACAGGCUCUGGAAACUGGCGGGCUAGAGAGCAGGAGAGGGCGGUGGAACUCCAUGUGUAGCGGUAAAAUGCGUAGAUAUAUGGAAGAACACCAGUGGCGAAGGCGGCCGCCUGGCCUGUGACUGACGCUGAGGCACGAAAGCGUGGGGAGCAAAUAGGAUUAGAUACCCUAGUAGUC
RNAcentral lists this ribosomal RNA (464 nucleotides) under uncultured bacterium. Its description in RNAcentral is "partial 16S ribosomal RNA". It matches the Rfam family "Bacterial small subunit ribosomal RNA", at positions 338 to 795 of the family's 1533-position model. The record is from RNAcentral.